AACACACACGCACACAUGGUGGGAGAGAGAAACUCUCCUUUCUCUCUCUAGAUUCCUCCUCCAUCUCUCUAGAUCCAUCUCUCAAAUUCGAAAUUUUGGAGGAGAUGAUGUUGGAGAUGAAGUUGAAGCUCUCUAAUGGUGGAAGCAAGCUUUCCAAUGGUGGAUUUAGCCUGGCCUAAGGUGAGAUCUCAUGAUUAAGCUAGGAUUUCAAUUAAGCUAGGAUUUCAAUUAAAUCCUUUAUGUAUGAGAUUCUAUUAGCCUAUAAUGUGUCGUUAGCAUGUUUUCUCCAUUUAAAUUGGGUUAAUUGGAGCAUGUGUAGAGGCUAGGUUUGAAAUGGUGGAUUUCUAGGGUUUGAAUUAUAUGCUCUAGAAUUGAAUUUAGAGGAACCCUUAGAUACUAAAUGGAUGACUAUUGCAUGAAUUAAGAGGUUAUAUGUUGAUUUCUUACAAUAGUGCAUCCUAGGGCUUAAAAUGGGGUUUUGCAAAAUGUAAGGGCUUGAUCUAAUUUAACUCUAUGUAAACCUAAUUGCUAGGUAUACGAACGCGUUGGUGAAGUCGGUUCGGCGAUUCGUCAAGCCUACGCGAAGUUAUUGAAGAAACGAACCAUUAAAGCUUCGUUUCCGCCUGGAGGGCCGAGGCGACGUCCUAAAAUCAUGAAAGAUGGAAUCGUGAGCUCGUGACAACUAACCGCGGAUCUUUAAUUUUCGGAUCGUGGAUUGGAGGCCGUUUGGGUGGUCGCGCGAGAGUUCGGGCCGAACCGGGUCACGGGUGCCGCGGGAGGCCGAUUGCAAGUGACUACAAGCAAUCGGAGUGCGAAUUGAGGUGGCUUGUGCUUACCGAAGCGACUAGGUCGCCGUUAUGUUUAAGAGUAAUGGUUACUAUUGAUGCAUACAUGUGUAGUGGUAGGUUGCAAGAGAUAAUGUAGAUGCAUAAAUCUUAUGCUUGAUGUUGAUACCUACCAAUGAAAUAUGUAUGUUGAUACAAUGAGGAAAUGCUAAAUGAUGCAUGUAGUUAACAUUAAGAGAAUGCAUGUUAAUUACAUAAUGUAAAAUGCUAAAGAGGAUGUAUGUUGCAUGUUAUAGAAAUGCUAAGUGAAUGCAUAUGAUAUGAUAUUGAGAUGCUAGAAUGCAUAUGUGCAUGUGACUGGAUUGUUAACUCUAGAGUGAGUAGAGAACAUGGCAAAGGAAAAAUACUAAUGUGUAAGGCUCGAUUGGACAAUCUAUAUUUAUUAGAUCGAGUGACAUUUAACCUAGUGUCUUGAACAUAGGUUGAACAUGAAUGAUAUGAACCUAGUGUCGUGAACCUAGGAAAGAUUGAGUGGCAUUUAACCUAGUGUUAAUAAACAUAGGUUGGUCAAGGGUGGCAUUAAACCUAAUGUAUUAAACUUAGGUUGAGAAUUGAACCUAGAGUCAAGUAAACCUAGGGUAUGCAUAUAGCAACAUUGAACGUAGGGUCAAGUGGACCUAAAAGGAAAAUGACAUUGGACCUAGUGUUAAUGAACCUAGGCUAUGAACAUAUCGACAUCGAACCUAAAGUAUUAACUUAGGUUGAACGAAGACUUGGACCUAGAUAGGUUGUCACGCCCCGGG
RNAcentral lists this long non-coding RNA (1588 nucleotides) under Ananas comosus (pineapple). Its description in RNAcentral is "long non-coding RNA (ACOM_LNC031395)". Lineage: Eukaryota; Viridiplantae; Streptophyta; Magnoliopsida; Poales; Bromeliaceae. The record is from RNAcentral.